AUGCCUUUGCAAGGAGUUUGCUGGUUUCUGUGCUGCAGGCAGGGCUUCAGUUUGCUGGGACGGGACUAUGGGGAAAAGGAGGAGGAAGAGUCUUUUGAGUUGCGCAACAAGGAGGACUUGACCCCCAAUGGACGGACUCCAGCUGAGGUGACUGUUUCUCAGCCAACUUGUACAGCCAAUGGAACAAAUGGGCACACUAUCUCACAGUCACCUGUCAAGAUGAAGAAACCGAUCACUGAGGAGAAUGAGAUGGGACUGGAGGAAGAGCCUGAGCUGUUGGUGAAAGGUGGGUCACACUUGAACAACAAACACAAUGCAACACACCAACAUGACUAAUCUUCCUUAGAUCAAUGCUCUUAACUGAAACAAUCAGGCCAGUGACCGGAUUCAGUAUUGUUGUGACAAAAUAAUUCACCAAUAGACAGAAAAUGGUCGCCAGUUAAGUGAAAGGGUGAAACUGUUGAAGAGUCAUGUACACAAGCUGUUAUUGCUUCGCCACACUGAUGCUGAUCAAACACCUUUCACCUUCGGACUGUUGGUCAAACUAAAUCAACAACUCCUGAAACUGGAAGAACAUUUUUAUGCAGUUGACAAGAGCACAGAAUGAUUGAAAACAAAUCACAUCUUCAUUUAAUACUAAAUAAUCUGUUUUUGUUAGUAGAUUAUCACUUUUCUGUGCUUCCUAGUGUGAUUAAAUAUCAUGCAUUGUCCAAACCGUCUCCUGUUGCAGCUGCACGCUGGGCCGCUGCCCUGCCGCUAACCCCUCUGUGACCACAUGUGGUGCACAGCUACUGGCAUCAGCAGCUUCAUCUUGCA
This 816-nucleotide long non-coding RNA is filed under the name Nothobranchius furzeri (turquoise killifish). RNAcentral's name for it is "lncRNA (ENSNFUG00015003272.1)". Lineage: Eukaryota; Metazoa; Chordata; Actinopteri; Cyprinodontiformes; Nothobranchiidae. The record is from RNAcentral.